GUAGGUGAACCUGCGGAAGGAUCAUUGCCGAUCGGACGCCGGGACGUCGAGCUCUCGCGGGCUCUUCGUUUCGGUGUCUUUUUCGAACAACCCAUGUGAACUCGUUUUAUGUGUUUAACAAAAACAAACUCUUUUGGGGUCUGUUUUUGUCCAAACAUUUUACAAUAAACCACAAUUCAUUGAACUCUUGACUGAGACAAUACAGGUCACGCCUAAAAACGUUGAUCUCAAAAACCUAACCAUUACAACUUUUAACAACGGAUAUCUUGGCUCGC
RNAcentral lists this unclassified non-coding RNA (275 nucleotides) under rhizosphere metagenome. RNAcentral's name for it is "partial ribosomal RNA internal transcribed spacer region". The record is from RNAcentral.